This 563-nucleotide ribosomal RNA is filed under the name uncultured bacterium. Its description in RNAcentral is "partial 16S ribosomal RNA". It matches the Rfam family "Bacterial small subunit ribosomal RNA", at positions 355 to 1375 of the family's 1533-position model. The record is from RNAcentral.
UGGGGAAUAUUGGACAAUGGGCGCAAGCCUGAUCCAGCCAUGCCGCGUGAGUGAUGAAGGCCUUAGGGUUGUAAAGCUCUUUCGCCGGUGAAGAUAAUGACGGUAACCGGAGAAGAAGCCCCGGCUAACUUCGUGCCAGCAGCCGCGGUAAUACGAAGGGGGCUAGCGUUGCUCGGAAUCACUGGGCGUAAAGCGCACGUAGGCGGAUCGUUAAGUCAGGGGUGAAAUCCUGGAGCUCAACUCCAGAACUGCCCUUGAUACUGGCGAUCUCGAGUUCGAGAGAGGUUGGUGGAACUCCGAGUGUAGAGGUGAAAUUCGUAGAUAUUCGGAAGAACACCAGUGGCGAAGGCGGCCAACUGGCUCGAUACUGACGCUGAGGUGCGAAAGCGUGGGGAGCAAAACAGGAUUAGAUACCCUGGUAGUCCACGCCCGUAAAACGAUGGAUGCUAGCCGUUGGGGGGUUUACCUCUCAGUGGCGCAGCUAACGCCUUAAGCAUCCCGCCUGGGGAGUACGGUCGCAAGAUUAAAACUCAAAGGAAUUGACGGGGUCAUAGCUGUUUCCU